ACAGUGGACGCGAGCAUCUUUGUUGUAAGUGUUUAAGAGCGUACGGUGGAUGCCUUGGCACCAGGAGCCGAUGAAGGACGUAGGAGGCUGCGAUAAGCCUCGGGGAGCUGUCAACCGAGCUGAGAUCCGAGGAUGUCCGAAUGGGGAAACCCAGCCACAGUGAUGUGUGGUUACCCGCGCCUGAAUAUAUAGGGCGUGUGGAGGGAACGUGGGGAAGUGAAACAUCUCAGUACCCACAGGAAGAGAAAACAACAUGUGAUUCCGUGAGUAGUGGCGAGCGAAAGCGGAAGAGGCUAAACCAUGGGUGUGUGAUAGCCGGCGGGCGUUGCAUUCGUGGGGUUGUGGGAUCCGUCUUGUCAAUUCUGCCGGAUUGGCCGACAGUGAGAAAUCAUCGUGUUAGUCGAAGUGGUCUGGAACGGCCUGUCGUAGAGGGUGAGAGUCCCGUAGACGAAAACAUGGUGACUGUCGUGACGGACACCCGAGUAGCAGCGGGCCCGUGAAAUCUGCUGUGAAUCUGUCGGGACCACCCGAUAAGCCUGAAUACUCCCUGGUGACCGAUAGCGGACUAGUACCGUGAGGGAAAGGUGAAAAGUACCCCGGGAGGGGAGUGAAAUAGUACCUGAAACCGUGCGCUUACAAUCCGUCAGAGCCUGCGCCACUUUUGGUGGGUGGGUGAUGGCGUGCCUUUUGAAGAAUGAGCCUGCGAGUUAGCGGCAUGUCGCGAGGUUAACCCGUGUGGGGUAGCCGUAGCGAAAGCGAGUCCGAAUAGGGCGUUUGUAGUGGCAUGUUCUAGACCCGAAGCGGAGUGAUCUACCCAUGGCCAGGGUGAAGCGACGGUAAGACGUCGUGGAGGCCCGAACCCACUUAGGUUGAAAACUGAGGGGAUGAGCUGUGGGUAGGGGUGAAAGGCCAAUCAAACUCCGUGAUAGCUGGUUCUCCCCGAAAUGCAUUUAGGUGCAGCGUCGCGUGUUUCACUCUGGAGGUAGAGCUACUGGAUGGCCGAUGGGCCCCACAAGGUUACUGACGUCAGCCAAACUCCGAAUGCCAGAGUGUGAGAGCGCGGCAGUGAGACUGCGGGGGAUAAGCUUCGUAGUCGAGAGGGAAACAGCCCAGAUCGCCGGCUAAGGCCCCUAAGCGUGUACUAAGUGGAAAAGGAUGUGGGGUCGCGAAGACAACCAGGAGGUUGGCUUAGAAGCAGCCACCCUUGAAAGAGUGCGUAAUAGCUCACUGGUCAAGUGAUCCUGCGCCGACAAUGUAGCGGGCUCAAGUACACCGCCGAAGCCGCGGCAUUCA
Molecule: ribosomal RNA, 1293 nt
Filed under: Rhodococcus (subgen. Prescottella) equi
Lineage: Bacteria; Bacillati; Actinomycetota; Actinomycetes; Mycobacteriales; Nocardiaceae
Description: Rhodococcus hoagii partial 23S ribosomal RNA
Rfam family: Bacterial large subunit ribosomal RNA
Source: RNAcentral